GGGAAUGUGGCUUAGUGGUAGAGUGCUUGCCUAGCGUGCAGGGAGCCCUGGUUCGAUUCCUCAGACCCA
This 69-nucleotide transfer RNA is filed under the name Dipodomys ordii (Ord's kangaroo rat). It matches the Rfam family "tRNA". Rfam says of the family: Transfer RNA (tRNA) molecules are approximately 80 nucleotides in length. Their secondary structure includes four short double-helical elements and three loops (D, anti-codon, and T loops). Further hydrogen bonds mediate the characteristic L-shaped molecular structure. tRNAs have two regions of fundamental functional importance: the anti-codon, which is responsible for specific mRNA codon recognition, and the 3' end, to which the tRNAs corresponding amino acid is attached (by aminoacyl-tRNA synthetases). tRNAs cope with the degeneracy of the genetic code in two manners: having more than one tRNA (with a specific anti-codon) for a particular amino acid; and 'wobble' base-pairing, i.e. permitting non-standard base-pairing at the 3rd anti-codon position. The record is from Rfam by way of RNAcentral. Lineage: Eukaryota; Metazoa; Chordata; Mammalia; Rodentia; Heteromyidae.